Molecule: transfer RNA, 52 nt
Filed under: Monacha cartusiana
Lineage: Eukaryota; Metazoa; Mollusca; Gastropoda; Stylommatophora; Hygromiidae
Description: tRNA-Ser
Source: RNAcentral
AAGAAGUAAAUUGUGGCUGCUAACUACGAUUAGGGGUUAACUCCACUUCUUU